CCUACGGGAGGCUGCAGUGGGGAAUAUUGGACAAUGGUGGCAACCCUGAUCCAGCCAUGCCGCGUGUGUGAAGAAGGCCCUCGGGUUGUAAAGCACUUUCAGUGAGGAAGAACGCCUGGUGGUUAAUACCCAUCAGGAAAGACAUCACUCACAGAAGAAGCACCGGCUAACUCCGUGCCAGCAGCCGCGGUAAUACGGAGGGUGCGAGCGUUAAUCGGAAUUACUGGGCGUAAAGCGCGCGUAGGUGGCUUGAUAAGCCGGUUGUGAAAGCCCCGGGCUCAACCUGGGAACGGCAUCCGGAACUGUCAAGCUAGAGUGCAGGAGAGGAAGGUAGAAUUCCCGGUGUAGCGGUGAAAUGCGUAGAGAUCGGGAGGAAUACCAGUGGCGAAGGCGGCCUUCUGGACUGACACUGACACUGAGGUGCGAAAGCGUGGGUAGCAAACAGGAUUAGAUACCCUAGUAGUC
This 465-nucleotide ribosomal RNA is filed under the name Vreelandella stevensii. RNAcentral's name for it is "partial 16S ribosomal RNA". It matches the Rfam family "Bacterial small subunit ribosomal RNA", at positions 338 to 795 of the family's 1533-position model. Lineage: Bacteria; Pseudomonadati; Pseudomonadota; Gammaproteobacteria; Oceanospirillales; Halomonadaceae. The record is from RNAcentral.